AUUUCUUUUUCUUCUUGCCAGCCGCCGACUCCUUCUUUUGCUAUUUUGCUAUUUGCAAAAUCUUUCUUUUGUUGUGUAAGAACACUGUUAUUGCUUGUUGUGAUCUCAUUGUUUACUUAUCUCUUUCCUUUCCUCGUAGUGGAUUUGAUCGUGUUGUGUUGUGGUUAGGAGAAGAGCAUCUGGUGAUAGACGACUCUCCGAAAAAUUAAGUUCUUGGUGUAGUUGCUGUAAGUUUGUGAAUUCUAAGUGUACGACUAUGUGGUGGAUCAAUCUCACUGUCAAGUAUGAGAAACAACCCAAAAACUCAAUUGAAACUUGACAAAAUCACGAAACAUAGGUUUUCUUCAAAGCUGCCUAGCGUCACACGGCUGUGUGGGAGGUCGUGUGAUAGACCAUGUGUGUUAUACGCUCGUGUGGUAAACAGUGUGAGAUUUUGCAGCCCGUAUGGGUAGGCCGUGUGGACCACACGGGCUAGCUUUUUGGGUCAUGUGGGCAUUUUUGGCCAAUUUUAGAGCUCGAUUGGAGCUGUUUGACGGACUCAAAAAUUGGGUCUGUAGGCAUCAUAUGGGGCUGAAAAAUCAUAAGUUUUAAUACAUAACAUACAUGGGUAAGCUUAGGAGGUAGGUUAUGUUAUAAUAUGAUUCGUAGGAAAAUAUAUGUGUUUGCAUGCCAUAUAAUUUGUGAUAUGUAUAUGUUGAUAUUAUGAUUAUGUUUAUGAGUAUGCUUAUGUU
Gossypium raimondii (Peruvian cotton) is the source of this 731-nucleotide long non-coding RNA. RefSeq lists it as uncharacterized. Lineage: Eukaryota; Viridiplantae; Streptophyta; Magnoliopsida; Malvales; Malvaceae. The record is from RefSeq and is a predicted model, not a curated record. The transcript is spliced from 3 exons.